RNAcentral lists this ribosomal RNA (497 nucleotides) under uncultured bacterium. Its description in RNAcentral is "partial 16S ribosomal RNA". It matches the Rfam family "Bacterial small subunit ribosomal RNA", at positions 28 to 507 of the family's 1533-position model. The record is from RNAcentral.
GAUGAACGCUGGCGGCGUGCCUAAUACAUGCAAGUCGAGCGAACAGGCGAGGAGCUUGCUCCUCUGACGUUAGCGGCGGACGGGUGAGUAACACGUGGAUAACCUACCUAUAAGACUGGGAUAACUUCGGGAAACCGGAGCUAAUACCGGAUAAUAUAUUGAACCGCAUGGUUCAAUAGUGAAAGACGGUUUUGCUGUCACUUAUAGAUGGAUCCGCGCCGCAUUAGCUAGUUGGUAAGGUAACGGCUUACCAAGGCAACGAUGCGUAGCCGACCUGAGAGGGUGAUCGGCCACACUGGAACUGAGACACGGUCCAGACUCCUACGGGAGGCAGCAGUAGGGGAUCUUCCGCGAUGGGCGAAAGCCUGACGGAGCAACGCCGCGUGAGUGAUGAAGGUCUUCGGAUCGUAAAACUCUGUUAUUAGGGAAGAACAAAUGUGUAAGUAACUAUGCACGUCUUGACGGUACCUAAUCAGAAAGCCACGGCUAACUACGUG